UGGGGAAUAUUGGACAAUGGGGGGAACCCUGAUCCAGCCAUGCCGCGUGUGUGAAGAAGGCCUUAUGGUUGUAAAGCACUUUAAGUGAGGAGGAGGGUACUGGCAUUAAUACUACCAGGUACUGGACGUUACUCGCAGAAUAAGCACCGGCUAACUCUGUGCCAGCAGCCGCGGUAAUACAGAGGGUGCGAGCGUUAAUCGGAUUUACUGGGCGUAAAGCGUGCGUAGGCGGCUAAUUGAGUCGGAUGUGAAAUCCCCGAGCUUAACUUGGGAAUUGCAUUCGAUACUGGUUAGCUAGAGUGUGGGUGAGGAUGGUAGGAUACCAGGUGUAGCGGUGAAAUGCGUAGAGAUCUGGAGGAAUACCGAUGGCGAAGGCAGCCAUCUGGCCUAACACUGACGCUGAGGUACGAAAGCAUGGGGAGCAAACAGG
Molecule: ribosomal RNA, 430 nt
Filed under: Pseudomonadota bacterium
Lineage: Bacteria; Pseudomonadati; Pseudomonadota
Description: Proteobacteria bacterium partial 16S ribosomal RNA
Rfam family: Bacterial small subunit ribosomal RNA
Source: RNAcentral